AACCUAGCACACCUGCGGUGUGUACCUGCGGAAGGAUCAUUACAGAGUUAUCCAACUCCCAAACCCAUGUGAACUUAUCUCUUUGUUGCCUCGGCGCAAGCUACCCGGGACCCCGCGCCCCGGGCGGCCCGCCGGCGGACAAACCAAAACUCUUGUUAUCCUAGUUGAUUCUCUGAGCGUCUUAUUUAAUAAGUCAAAACUUUUAACAACGGAUCU
Molecule: unclassified non-coding RNA, 216 nt
Filed under: soil metagenome
Description: partial contains 5.8S ribosomal RNA, internal transcribed spacer 2, and large subunit ribosomal RNA
Source: RNAcentral